GAGGGUAUAGCUCAGUAGUAGAGCGCAUGCUUAGCACGCAUGAGGUCCUGGGUUCAAUCUUCAGUACUUCCA
RNAcentral lists this transfer RNA (72 nucleotides) under Camelus bactrianus (Bactrian camel). It matches the Rfam family "tRNA". Rfam says of the family: Transfer RNA (tRNA) molecules are approximately 80 nucleotides in length. Their secondary structure includes four short double-helical elements and three loops (D, anti-codon, and T loops). Lineage: Eukaryota; Metazoa; Chordata; Mammalia; Artiodactyla; Camelidae. RNAcentral also lists the same sequence under 2 other names. The record is from Rfam by way of RNAcentral.